Long non-coding RNA from Photinus pyralis (common eastern firefly), 850 nucleotides. RefSeq lists it as uncharacterized. The record is from RefSeq and is a predicted model, not a curated record. Lineage: Eukaryota; Metazoa; Arthropoda; Insecta; Coleoptera; Lampyridae. The transcript is spliced from 2 exons.
GCUCCCAAUUUUCCACGGCUACUGGAAUCGGGGUGGAAAAUUGAGAGUUCACAAGUGCUGGUUCGGGUAGCUCAAUUCGCAGCAGGGUUCGGUAGUAAAACCAGUUGAAAGCGGAGAUCGCUUAAUACAUAUAUUGUUUCCAAUAAUAAAACAAAAUAAAAUUAAAAUAAUGUACACAAAAGCACGCCUCUGUGGACUGCCUCCGCACGUCACUGGCUCGGACUGAAGUGGAACGGUCAGUGCGACACUUCCAGUGGAUGCUGGACACGGUGUGUUUCCUCUUAGGUUUGUUAUAUUCCUUUAACAAUCGGAAGUAUAAUUAACACAAAUAAAUUCAGAGUAAUUAAGUGAUUGUUUAAACAAUAGGACUUAGGUACAAAGUACCGCCCUAAGUUACCAAGAGUUCGGGGAAGGUUUAGAAUAACAGGUGUGAAAGUUGACCAGGUACACAGUACCAGCCGUGAGCUUCGGGAAGUAGUUAUCGGGAGUUAGACCGUAGGUGCAAAGCACCGGCCUAAGCUUCUGGAUCAGGUAAGAGAUAACAGGGUUCGAAAUUUAGGCCUUUGGUACAAAGCACCGGCCUAAGCUUCAGGGAGAGCAGGAGAUCUGGAGGGUGGUUCUGGUAGAAGGUUUUGAGCUAUAGGAAGGUGAUCUCAAUUAGUUCUCUCACAGACGGGACACUCGCUUUUAUAUUCAACGGCCGGUUACGUUUGGGGAAUAUUUGGAAAUGGUAAUCGGGAAGGGAUUAACGGGAAGUGGUAUUUGAUACGAUCGGAAAGGUAGGUGGCGACAUCUCACGGAACUUCAGGAAAAUAGUUUUCAUCAUUGCUUCCUAAAAUGAUUAUAAAAA